GACGAACGCUGGCGGCGUGCUUAACACAUGCAAGUCGAGCGGUAAGGCCCUUUCGGGGGUACGACGAGCGGCGAACGGGUAGAGUAACAACGUGGGUGGACCUCGCCCUCCAGCUCUGGGAGUAAGCCCGGGAAACCGUAGGGUCGUAAUACCGGAUAUGACUCCAUGACGCAUGUUGUGGGGUGGAAAGCCUUGUGCGGCUGAGGAUGGGCCCGGCGGCCUAUCAGCUUGUUGGUGGGGUGAUGGCCUACCAAGGCGACGACGGGUAGCCGGCCUGAGAGGGCGACCGGCCACACUGGGACUGAGAUACGGCCCAGACUCCUACGGGAGGCAGCAGUGGGGAAUCUUGCGCAAUGGGCGAAAGCCUGACGCAGCGACGCCGCGUGAGGGAUGACGGCCUGUG
RNAcentral lists this ribosomal RNA (403 nucleotides) under uncultured bacterium. RNAcentral describes it as "bacterial SSU rRNA". It matches the Rfam family "Bacterial small subunit ribosomal RNA", at positions 28 to 420 of the family's 1533-position model. The record is from RNAcentral.